This 86-nucleotide transfer RNA is filed under the name Candidatus Aenigmatarchaeota archaeon. RNAcentral describes it as "tRNA-Leu". It matches the Rfam family "tRNA". From Rfam's summary of the family: Transfer RNA (tRNA) molecules are approximately 80 nucleotides in length. Their secondary structure includes four short double-helical elements and three loops (D, anti-codon, and T loops). The record is from RNAcentral. Lineage: Archaea; Nanobdellati; Candidatus Aenigmatarchaeota.
GCAGGGGUCGCAUAGUCUGGUCAAUUGCGUCGGGCUUAGGACCCGAUGGCUUAGUGCCUUCGAGAGUUCAAAUCUCUCCCCCUGCA